This 544-nucleotide long non-coding RNA is filed under the name Brassica napus (rape). RNAcentral's name for it is "long non-coding RNA (BNAP_LNC019326)". Lineage: Eukaryota; Viridiplantae; Streptophyta; Magnoliopsida; Brassicales; Brassicaceae. The record is from RNAcentral.
AGUGGGGUUUAGGAUUUAGGAUUUAGGGUUUAGAGUUUAGGGUUUAGAUUUUAGGGUUUAGGGUUUAGGGUUUAGGGUUUAAAGUUGAGAAAUGAGGUUUUGGGGAUAAGAUUUCAAAUUUUGAAAAAUAAAAAAAUUAAAAUUUUCAAAGGAUAAACUUAAAAAGAUGCUAUUUUGGUCAUUUUAGUUUUUGAGUGCUAUUUUUGUGAUAUAAACUUAGAAAGAUGCUAUUUUGGAGAUUUGCCACGAGUCUAAUCUAAAGAACAUUAUGAGGAAAAAAAAAAUAAAACGAAUCCAACAAUAAAUGACGGAAAAGGAGUUGGUGUUAACGGAAAAAAAAAUAUAUGUUGACUUAUUUACUUAUCUUUUUACCGAAAAAUAGGUAACUUCACAAACGAUAUCUUUUUUUUGAUCAAACGAUAUCUAAACUUCAAAUAAAAUAUAAACUUCAAAAUGUGGACAAUAAUUUUUUAUCUUCUUAUCCGGAGUCUGGGAUCGUAUUUUCACAUUACAACCAUAUAUUCCUUUUACCAAUUAAAUAUGA